AUACGUAGGGGGCGAGCGUUGUCCGGAAUGAUUGGGCGUAAAGGGCGCGUAGGCGGCGCGGUAAGUCUGGAGUGAAAGUCCUGCUUUCAAGGUGGGAAUUGCUUUGGAUACUGCCGCGCUUGAGUGCAGGAGAGGUUAUCGGAAUUCCCGGUGUAGCGGUGAAAUGCGUAGAGAUCGGGAGGAACACCAGUGGCGAAGGCGGGUAACUGGACUGCAACUGACGCUGAGGCGCGAAAGUGUGGGGAGCAAACAGGAUUAGAUACCCUGGUAGUCCACGCGGUAAACGAUGAAUGCUAGGUGUUGCGGGUAUCGACCCCUGCAGUGCCGGAGUCAACACAAUAAGCAUUCCGCCUGGGGAGUACGGCCGCAAGGUUGAAACUCAAAUGAAUUGACGGGG
Molecule: ribosomal RNA, 397 nt
Filed under: uncultured bacterium
Lineage: Bacteria
Description: partial 16S ribosomal RNA
Rfam family: Bacterial small subunit ribosomal RNA
Source: RNAcentral